This 253-nucleotide ribosomal RNA is filed under the name uncultured bacterium. RNAcentral describes it as "partial 16S ribosomal RNA". It matches the Rfam family "Bacterial small subunit ribosomal RNA", at positions 524 to 776 of the family's 1533-position model. The record is from RNAcentral.
UACGGAGGGGGGGAGCGUUGUUCGGAAUUACUGGGCGUAAAGCGCGCGUAGGCGGCUUCGCAAGUCAGAGGUGAAAGCCCGGGGCUCAACCCCGGAACUGCAUUUGAGACUGCGUCGCUCGAAUCCGGGAGAGGCGGGUGGAAUUCCCAGUGUAGAGGUGAAAUUCGUAGAUAUUGGGAAGAACACCAGUGGCGAAGGCGGCCCGCUGGACUGGGACUGACGCUGAGGUGCGAAAGCGUGGGGAGCAAACAGG